AGAGUUUGAUCAUGGCUCAGAUUGAACGCUGGCGGAAUGCUUUACACAUGCAAGUCGAACGGCAGCACGGGGGCAACCCUGGUGGCGAGUGGCGAACGGGUGAGUAAUACAUCGGAACGUGCCCAGUCGUGGGGGAUAACGUAGCGAAAGCUACGCUAAUACCGCAUACGAUCUACGGAUGAAAGCGGGGGAUCGCAAGACCUCGCGCGAUUGGAGCGGCCGAUGGCAGAUUAGGUAGUUGGUGGGUAAAGGCUCACCAAGCCGACGAUCUGUAGCUGGUCUGAGAGGACGACCAGCCACACUGGGACUGAGACACGGCCCAGACUCCUACGGGAGGCAGCAGUGGGGAAUUUUGGACAAUGGGCGCAAGCCUGAUCCAGCCAUUCCGCGUGCAGGAUGAAGGCCUUCGGGUUGUAAACUGCUUUUGUACGGAACGAAACGGCCUUUUCUAAUACAAGAGGCUAAUGACGGUACCGUAAGAAUAAGCACCGGCUAACUACGUG
Molecule: ribosomal RNA, 503 nt
Filed under: uncultured bacterium
Lineage: Bacteria
Description: bacterial SSU rRNA
Rfam family: Bacterial small subunit ribosomal RNA
Source: RNAcentral